GACCCUCCCCCGGACUUACGCCGAGCUACUGGAGCACGCAUACAAGUAUAUGCGCGCGGACGAAGGAGCGUCCGAUCGACGCUUGGCCGAGCCCAGAGGCCCGAAAGAGAAGCGGAGGAAAGGUCGGGAGCCCGCCGAACCCAGCAGGCCACCGACCGAUAGUCGGGUCUCACCACCCCGACGAAUCCAAAAGCCACCCCGGCAGCAGACUCCA
Molecule: long non-coding RNA, 214 nt
Filed under: Elaeis guineensis (African oil palm)
Lineage: Eukaryota; Viridiplantae; Streptophyta; Magnoliopsida; Arecales; Arecaceae
Description: long non-coding RNA (EGUI_LNC081496)
Source: RNAcentral